This 85-nucleotide non-coding RNA is filed under the name Subdoligranulum sp. CAG:314. RNAcentral's name for it is "ZMP/ZTP riboswitch aptamer (pfl RNA motif)". It matches the Rfam family "ZMP/ZTP riboswitch aptamer (pfl RNA motif)". From Rfam's summary of the family: Previously known as pfl RNA. Lineage: Bacteria; Bacillati; Bacillota; Clostridia; Eubacteriales; Oscillospiraceae. RNAcentral also lists the same sequence under 1 other name. The record is from Rfam by way of RNAcentral.
UACGUUGCGUAUGACUGACGGAAAUUCGGCAGGUUACUGCGGGGGAGUACGCAAACGGUUCAAGCCGUCCGUCUGGGCAAUUUCU